CCCUUAGAUGUUCUGGGCCGCACGCGCGCUACACUGAUUCAUGCAACAAGUUUUGUCCUUGGCUGAUAGGCCUGGGUAAUCUUUGAACGUGAAUCGUGAUGGGGAUAGAUGAUUGCAAUUAUUCAUCUUCAACGAGGAAUUCCUAGUAAACGCAAGUCAUCAGCUUGCAUUGAUUACGUCCCUGCCCUUUGUACACACCGCCCGUCGCACCUACCGAUUGAAUGGUCCGGUGAAAUCUUCGGAUCUGAGAGAUGUCUGAUUAAUUUCGGACGCCUUUUGUAAAAGUUGUUUAAACCUUACCAUUUAGAGGAAGGUGAAGUCGUAACA
This 327-nucleotide ribosomal RNA is filed under the name uncultured eukaryote. RNAcentral describes it as "partial 18S ribosomal RNA". It matches the Rfam family "Eukaryotic small subunit ribosomal RNA", at positions 1470 to 1796 of the family's 1831-position model. The record is from RNAcentral.